Molecule: ribosomal RNA, 503 nt
Filed under: uncultured bacterium
Lineage: Bacteria
Description: partial 16S ribosomal RNA
Rfam family: Bacterial small subunit ribosomal RNA
Source: RNAcentral
AACGAACGCUGGCGGCGUGUUUAAGACAUGCAAGUCGCACGGGAUAAGACAUGUAGUAAUACUUGUUUUAUUUAGUGGCGCACAGGUGAGUAACACGUGAAUUACAUGCCCUAUAGUGGGGAAUAGCCCAGGGAAACUUGGAUUAAUACCCCAUGGUAUCGAAAGAUUAAAGGUGCCCGCAAGGCUGUCGCUAUAGGAUUGGUUCGCGCGCUAUCAGCUUGUUGGUGAGGUAACGGCUCACCAAGGCAAUGAAGGGUACCUGGUCUGAGAGGACGAUCAGGCACACUGGAACUGAGACACGGUCCAGACACCUACGGGUGGCAGCAGUCGAGAAUAAUUCACAAUGGGGGCAACCCUGAUGGUGCAACGCCGCGUGGAGGAUGACGGUCUUCGGAUUGUAAACUCCUGUCAUCUGGGAGAAAGACCUGACGGUAAAUAGCCGGCAGGGUUGAUAGUACCGGAAGAGGAAGGGACGGCUAACUUCGUGCCAGCCGCCGCCGUAA